UGGGGAAUUUUGGACAAUGGGCGCAAGCCUGAUCCAGCCAUGCCGCAUGCAGGAUGAAGGCCUUCGGGUUGUAAACUGCUUUUGUACGGAACGAAAAGUCUCUUUCUAAUAAAGAGAGAUCAUGACGGUACCGUAAGAAUAAGCACCGGCUAACUACGUGCCAGCAGCCGCGGUAAUACGUAGGGUGCAAGCGUUAAUCGGAAUUACUGGGCGUAAAGCGUGCGCAGGCGGUUAUAUAAGACAGAUGUGAAAUCCCCGGGCUCAACCUGGGAACUGCAUUUGUGACUGCAUAGCUGGAGUGCGGCAGAGGGGGAUGGAAUUCCGCGUGUAGCAGUGAAAUGCGUAGAUAUGCGGAGGAACACCGAUGGCGAAGGCAAUCCCCUGGGCCUGCACUGACGCUCAUGCACGAAAGCGUGGGGAGCAAAAA
Molecule: ribosomal RNA, 427 nt
Filed under: uncultured bacterium
Lineage: Bacteria
Description: bacterial SSU rRNA
Rfam family: Bacterial small subunit ribosomal RNA
Source: RNAcentral